RNAcentral lists this transfer RNA (70 nucleotides) under uncultured Gammaproteobacteria bacterium. Its description in RNAcentral is "tRNA-Ile". It matches the Rfam family "tRNA", at positions 12 to 71 of the family's 71-position model. From Rfam's summary of the family: Transfer RNA (tRNA) molecules are approximately 80 nucleotides in length. Their secondary structure includes four short double-helical elements and three loops (D, anti-codon, and T loops). The record is from RNAcentral. Lineage: Bacteria; Pseudomonadati; Pseudomonadota; Gammaproteobacteria.
UCAGGUGGGUUAGAGCGCACCCCUGAUAAGGGGUGAGGUCGGAGGUUCAAGUCCUCCCCAGACCCACCAU